AGUGAACGCUGGCGGCAUGCCUAACACAUGCAAGUCGAACGGCAGCACAGUAAGAGCUUGCUCUUACGGGUGGCGAGUGGCGGACGGGUGAGGAAUACAUCGGAAUCUACUUUUUCGUGGGGGAUAACGUAGGGAAACUGACGCUAAUACCGCAUACGACCUACGGGUGAAAGCAGGGGAUCUUGGGACCUUGCGCGACUGAAUUAGCCGAUGUCGGAUUAGCUAGUUGGCGGGGUAAAGGCCCACCAAGGCGACGAUCCGUAGCUGGUCUGAGAGGAUGAUCAGCCACACUGGAACUGAGACACGGUCCAGACUCCUACGGGAGGCAGCAGUGGGGAAUCUUGGGCAAUGGGCGAAAGCCUGACCCAGCCAUACCGCGUGGGUGAAGAAGGCCUUCGGGUUGUAAAGCCCUUUUGUUGGGAAAGAAAAGCAGCAGGUUAAUACCCCGCUGUUCUGACGGUACCCAAAGAAUAAGCACCGGCUAACUUCGUG
This 492-nucleotide ribosomal RNA is filed under the name uncultured bacterium. RNAcentral describes it as "partial 16S ribosomal RNA". It matches the Rfam family "Bacterial small subunit ribosomal RNA", at positions 29 to 507 of the family's 1533-position model. The record is from RNAcentral.